ACUCCUACGGGAGGCAGCAGCUAAGAAUAUUCCGCAAUGGACGAAAGUCUGACGGAGCGACGCCGCGUGGAUGAAGAAGGCCGCAAGGUUGUAAAAUCCUUUUGCUGGGGAAGAAUAAGUCCAGGAGGGAAUGCCUGGAUGAUGACAUGAACCGGCGAAUAAGCCCCGGCCAACUACGUGCCAGCAGCCGCGGUAACACGUAGGGGGCAAGCGUUGUUCGGAAUUACUGGGCGUAAAGGGCAUGUAGGCGGUUUAGUAAGCUUGGCGUGAAAGACCACAGCUCAACUGUGGGGUUGCGUUGAGAACUGCUGAACUUGAGUUACGGAGAGGGAGCUAGAAUUCCUGGUGUAGGGGUGGAAUCUGUAGAGAUCAGGAAGAAUACCGAUGGCGAAGGCAAGCUUCUGGCCGAUAACUGACGCUGAGGUGCGAAAGUGUGGGGAUCAAACAGGAUUAGAUACCCUGGUAGUC
This 468-nucleotide ribosomal RNA is filed under the name uncultured bacterium. Its description in RNAcentral is "bacterial SSU rRNA". It matches the Rfam family "Bacterial small subunit ribosomal RNA", at positions 335 to 795 of the family's 1533-position model. The record is from RNAcentral.